UCGUGAGAUGUUGGGUUAAGUCCCGCAAACGAGCGCAACUAUCGCCCUUAGUUGCCWUCAUAUAAGUUGGGCACUCUAAGGAGGACUGMCYGGUGAUAAGCCGCGAGGAAGGUGAAGAUGACGUCAAGUCCCCAUGGCCCUUACGBGCUGGGSUACACACGUGCUACAAUGGUGGUGWCAGUGGGCAGCGAGACCNMGAGGUCGAGCUAAUCUCCAAAAGCCAUCUCAGUUCGGAUUGCAGCUCUGCAACUYGAGUGCAUGAAGUUGGAAUCGCUAGUAAUCGCAGAUCAGCAUGCUGCGGUGAAUAMGUUCCCGGGCCUUGUACACACCGCCCGUCAGCAGCCAWUGGGAGRUUGGUUUUACCCGAAGGCAACUGCGCUAAMCCGCAAGGABGGCAAGGUGAACCAKCGGUAUGGGUCARGCGAUCUGGGGUUWAURUGU
This 441-nucleotide ribosomal RNA is filed under the name uncultured Hyphomicrobiales bacterium. RNAcentral's name for it is "uncultured Rhizobiales bacterium partial 16S ribosomal RNA". It matches the Rfam family "Bacterial small subunit ribosomal RNA", at positions 1065 to 1489 of the family's 1533-position model. Lineage: Bacteria; Pseudomonadati; Pseudomonadota; Alphaproteobacteria; Hyphomicrobiales. The record is from RNAcentral.